This 72-nucleotide transfer RNA is filed under the name Culex quinquefasciatus (southern house mosquito). It matches the Rfam family "tRNA". From Rfam's summary of the family: Transfer RNA (tRNA) molecules are approximately 80 nucleotides in length. Their secondary structure includes four short double-helical elements and three loops (D, anti-codon, and T loops). Further hydrogen bonds mediate the characteristic L-shaped molecular structure. tRNAs have two regions of fundamental functional importance: the anti-codon, which is responsible for specific mRNA codon recognition, and the 3' end, to which the tRNAs corresponding amino acid is attached (by aminoacyl-tRNA synthetases). tRNAs cope with the degeneracy of the genetic code in two manners: having more than one tRNA (with a specific anti-codon) for a particular amino acid; and 'wobble' base-pairing, i.e. permitting non-standard base-pairing at the 3rd anti-codon position. The record is from Rfam by way of RNAcentral. Lineage: Eukaryota; Metazoa; Arthropoda; Insecta; Diptera; Culicidae.
GGUCCGGUAGUGUAGUGGUAAGCGUGGUUGUCUCUCACUCCAGUUGGCCUGGAUUCAAUUCCAGUCGGUCCA